AGAGUUUGAUCCUGGCUCAGAUUGAACGCUGGCGGCAGGCCUAACACAUGCAAGUCGAGCGGUAGAGAGGAGCUUGCUCCUCUUGAGAGCGGCGGACGGGUGAGUAAUGCCUAGGAAUCUGCCUGGUAGUGGGGGAUAACGUUCGGAAACGGACGCUAAUACCGCAUACGUCCUACGGGAGAAAGCAGGGGACCUUCGGGCCUUGCGCUAUCAGAUGAGCCUAGGUCGGAUUAGCUAGUUGGUGAGGUAAUGGCUCACCAAGGCGACGAUCCGUAACUGGUCUGAGAGGAUGAUCAGUCACACUGGAACUGAGACACGGUCCAGACUCCUACGGGAGGCAGCAGUGGGGAAUAUUGGACAAUGGGCGAAAGCCUGAUCCAGCCAUGCCGCGUGUGUGAAGAAGGUCUUCGGAUUGUAAAGCACUUUAAGUUGGGAGGAAGGGCAGUAAAUUAAUACUUUGCUGUUUUGACGUUACCGACAGAAUAAGCACCGGCUAACUCUGUGCCAGCAGCCGCGGUAAUACAGAGGGUGCAAGCGUUAAUCGGAAUUACUGGGCGUAAAGCGCGCGUAGGUGGUUUGUUAAGUUGGAUGUGAAAUCCCCGGGCUCAACCUGGGAACUGCAUUCGAAACUGACUGACUAGAGUAUGGUAGAGGGUGGUGGAAUUUCCUGUGUAGCGGUGAAAUGCGUAGAUAUAGGAAGGAACACCAGUGGCGAAGGCGACCACCUGGACUAAUACUGACACUGAGGUGCGAAAGCAUGGGGAGCAAACAGGAUUAGAUACCCUGGUAGUCCACGCCGUAAACGAUGUCAACUAGCCGUUGGAAGCCUUGAGCUUUUAGUGGCGCAGCUAACGCAUUAAGUUGACCGCCUGGGGAGUACGGCCGCAAGGUUAAAACUCAAAUGAAUUGACGGGGGCCCGCACAAGCGGUGGAGCAUGUGGUUUAAUUCGAAGCAACGCGAAGAACCUUACCAGGCCUUGACAUCCAAUGAACUUUCUAGAGAUAGAUUGGUGCCUUCGGGAGCAUUGAGACAGGUGCUGCAUGGCUGUCGUCAGCUCGUGUCGUGAGAUGUUGGGUUAAGUCCCGUAACGAGCGCAACCCUUGUCCUUAGUUACCAGCACGUAAUGGUGGGCACUCUAAGGAGACUGCCGGUGACAAACCGGAGGAAGGUGGGGAUGACGUCAAGUCAUCAUGGCCCUUACGGCCUGGGCUACACACGUGCUACAAUGGUCGGUACAGAGGGUUGCCAAGCCGCGAGGUGGAGCUAAUCCCACAAAACCGAUCGUAGUCCGGAUCGCAGUCUGCAACUCGACUGCGUGAAGUCGGAAUCGCUAGUAAUCGCGAAUCAGAAUGUCGCGGUGAAUACGUUCCCGGGCCUUGUACUCACCGCCCGUC
This 1395-nucleotide ribosomal RNA is filed under the name uncultured bacterium. RNAcentral's name for it is "bacterial SSU rRNA". It matches the Rfam family "Bacterial small subunit ribosomal RNA". The record is from RNAcentral.